GAUGAACGCUGGCGGCGUGCCUAAUACAUGCAAGUCGAGCGAACAGACGAGGAGCUUGCUCCUCUGACGUUAGCGGCGGACGGGUGAGUAACACGUGGAUAACCUACCUAUAAGACUGGGAUAACUUCGGGAAACCGGAGCUAAUACCGGAUAAUAUAUUGAACCGCAUGGUUCAAUAGUGAAAGACGGUUUUGCUGUCACUUAUAGAUGGAUCCGCGCCGCAUUAGCUAGUUGGUAAGGUAACGGCUUACCAAGGCAACGAUGCGUAGCCGACCUGAGAGGGUGAUCGGCCACACUGGAACUGAGACACGGUCCAGACUCCUACGGGAGGCAGCAGUAGGGAAUCUUCCGCAAUGGGCGAAAGCCUGACGGAGCAACGCCGCGUGAGUGAUGAAGGUCUUCGGAUCGUAAAACUCUGCUAUUAGGGAAGAACAAAUGUGUAAGUAACUAUGCACGUCUUGACGGUACCUAAUCAGAAAGCCACGACUAACUACGUG
Molecule: ribosomal RNA, 497 nt
Filed under: uncultured bacterium
Lineage: Bacteria
Description: partial 16S ribosomal RNA
Rfam family: Bacterial small subunit ribosomal RNA
Source: RNAcentral